RNAcentral lists this ribosomal RNA (454 nucleotides) under uncultured Alistipes sp. Its description in RNAcentral is "partial 16S ribosomal RNA". It matches the Rfam family "Bacterial small subunit ribosomal RNA", at positions 341 to 792 of the family's 1533-position model. The record is from RNAcentral. Lineage: Bacteria; Pseudomonadati; Bacteroidota; Bacteroidia; Bacteroidales; Rikenellaceae.
ACGGAAGGCAGCAGUGAGGAAUAUUGGUCAAUGGACGGAAGUCUGAACCAGCCAAGUCGCGUGAAGGAAGAAGGUAUUAUGUAUCGUAAACUUCUUUAGACGUAGAGAAAUAAGCGGGUCGUGACCCGUGAUGCUAGUAUACGUAGAAUAAGGAUCGGCUAACUCCGUGCCAGCAGCCGCGGUAAUACGGAGGAUCCGAGCGUUAUCCGGAUUUAUUGGGUUUAAAGGGUGCGCAGGCGGGCUGCUAAGUCUCCGGUGAAAUGUCAGGGCUCAACCUUGGAAUUGCCGGAGAUACUGGCGGCCUUGAGAGUGGCGGAGGUAUCCGGAAUGUGUGGUGUAGCGGUGAAAUGCAUAGAUAUCACACAGAACACCGAUUGCGAAGGCAGGAUACCAUACCAUAUCUGACGCUCAGGCACGAAAGCGUGGGGAUCGAACAGGAUUAGAUACCCUGGUA